ACCGUUUCGUCUAGCAUCAAUACCCCUUACAAGAAUGAAUUGAUACUAAUACAGAUGUAAACUGUGACCAUUCCUCAUCUUCAAACAUCACCUGACCUCAGUUUGACCUUGACCUCGAUUUGGACUUCGGUGCAAAAUCUAUCAACAAGGAUGCCACUGGGGGCAUCAAGCUUUUAUUGAACCUAGCGGGGCGGAGUUAAUCUCUGACAUAUGCAAAUAAUGGUAAUCAAAAAAAAAAAAUGGGCAAAAUAGGUAGAGCAAUUUCAUUGUUUCAUUCCGUAAUUUUUGGUAGCCAUCUACUAAAAAUCAAUACUACAUUGGUUACAUAUACUACAUACCCUGCAGAAAAAUGUAGUGGACUGUUGCAAAAGCACACCCGCCAUACACUAUACACAAGAGCCACCCAUUUCAUUUGUUUAUUAAUUACCACCCUUUAAUUUGAUUAUGAUAAAAUAUUUCAUUAUAUUCUUUUCUUUCAUUACCAGUUUGAAAAUUUAAUCUUUAUAAUACAGAUAUUAGCGUUUGAAUGCAUUCGCCUAUUAAAGCAUUCAACUAUUGUAGAUUCCUAAACAUUAAUCAUGAAUAAUAUGCUAUAUAUUUAUUACUUACAUGCAUUGUAAGUAUGUUGCCCUAUUAUUUAGAAGAUGCUGUAUUGGCAUGUAGUAUGUUUUGUGAAAAAUGUCCUUAGGUAGGAAGGUUGGUAAUUGUUACAAAUUCUUUUUUGGGAUGUUUUUUUUUGUUUUGUUUUUUCAGUUCCUGUUUGAUGUAGUUUGUAGCAAGAUAGAAGUAGCACCAAAAUUCCAUAUGGUAGAAGAAAGUUCAGAGGUGAAAAUUACUACAGACCAUACAGGCCCUGUAGAAAAUCUGAAGAAGACUUUGUUCAUCAUAGAAGAAGAAUACAAUCAAGAUGAAACCAUUACAAAUUAUGACGAGGUAUUCUUUCAAGAAGAAAAGUUGUGAACUUAGUGCCUUACCAAGCUACAACAAGGAGGAGAUGGAUGUUGAUAUCGGUGUGAAGUCAUGCAUAAAUCAGAAAAAAGAUGAAUUUUAAACCUCACAUGGUUCAAGGAGUUCUACACUUAAACAUCAGAUACUCUUUUAGCUGUUGGUUGUUUGUUUUCAAAGGUUCAAAAGGAAAAUGGUUUUGAAAAGUAGAAUAAUGAUGGACUGCAGAAGUUAAAAAAAUAUAGAAUAACUCCAGAUAGCUUGUGUAUAAACUUCAGAAUGUGAACAGUUUAUAAUUUGACUGUACUUGAGGAGCAAAAGCUUCAUACUUUUAAAUCGACCAGUUUUAGUUUUGUUGUUUUUAAAAGAAGGUUUUGUUUUCAUCAGGCAGAUGCUUUAUUUUUGUUAGAAAAGAAAAGUUGUACAAGAUAAUUUUCAGGCAUGAGUCUGAUAAAAUAUCUUUACCUUUUUAUGAUGUUUAUGAUAGAACUGUAAAGAAAGUAGUUUCAACACACACUUAGUACUUUUUUACUGUUUUAAAAUAGCAAAUUUACUAAGCAGUGUCCUGGUUCAUCAAUGUUUUAAGGGAAGACUUUUACUUAGAUUUUAGAUACAUGCAGAUUCAGGGUACAUAGGUACUGGUUCAACUGUUGAUGCCCCAAAUAAAAAGAAAUUGUUUGAACAGAAAUAUUCAGUUUGAAAAAGAGGCUUAAAAGUGUCCACCAGUUUUAUUUUACUUACAAUGUUUGAUGAAAAAGAGUCUAGGUUGGCUAUACAAGUGCUCAUACACAGUGUCUUAAUAUGACCAAGUCACUGUUUAAUGUCUUUUACAGUUGUUAAAAAUGUAUUGUACCAUUGCACGUCUUUUACAGUUGUUAAAAAUGUAUUGUACCAUUGCACAUUACCAUAUCACUUCCAAGUAUUAUGUUUAAAAUCUAAAUUCACCAAGCAUUUUGACUGAAUUAUGGCCCCUUUUCGUCGUUUUCGACUUAGUUUAUGCUUACUGUAGGCUUGCUUAUUUUAGCGGUGUACUAAUAACAGCGCUUUUAGCACUAUCGCACGUGUGCUAAUUCAUGUCCGCGCAUUAAUUUGUCCAAGCAUUUUCAUGUACAUUUUCGUUUGAUGAUGUUUUCUUCGAACUUUUGCAAAUAAAUACUCUUGACAGUUUGCACUAGUUACACUGCUUGCUAAUAUUUUAAGGUUCGUAUGAUAUUCCUGUUUAUUGUUCAUAUUAUUAUUUUAAAUAUAUCAUCAUACCAAAUAAAAUAUUUAAGCUUGUAGUUUGUGUUUUUUCUCAUUUGAUCAAGUUGUUAUCGAUUUCCGUAUCACCUUCGGGCAUGUCCGUUGUUGCAGUCGCUCGUUUACGGAAAGGUGUUAACGUUUGUAUUAAGACACAAUGCAUGUAGGACAAAGGAGAUUCAAUGAUUAAAAUGUGUGACAAUCUGGUUUUAUUUCAGCAAUUAUAACUAGUAUACAGAAUAUAUAACACGCAGAUUAUUAUAAUUAAAUACAAGAAGAGAUUUACGGUAUAACACUUAAGUAAAUAAUUUAAAAUAAAUAUUACUUUCUUUAGCCCGCCAACAGUGAAAAAAGUUGAUCUCAUAAUCAGUAUGACGCAUAAUUGCAGCAGAAACACAUUACAUAAAAAUUGCCGAUGGUUAAGUUUAUUUCCGAAUAUUUUCAAGAAUCUCCGUAAAUCUUCGAUAGCCUCAUCUCGGACAGCGCUAAAAUUAGAAAUUAGCGGUCUCGCGAGAGCGCUAAUUCACGUCCACGCAUUAAUUAGAUAUUUCACCAAAAAUUGCGUUUGCACUAAAUUUUUGCCGUACUAAUAAAUGUACGCCUACAGUAUUGUAAUGUCAAGUUUUACUCAUAGCUUAUAUUAUACUAUCAACCACUGAGAAUAGUUUAGCCCGCUGUCAGCUGACAGCUCUUGUUUUCAAAUGGGGUCUCUUGGCCCUUUCUAGGGGCUACUACAGCUAAAAAUAGGAAAAACCUUCAAAUCUCUUUUUCCUGAUCCGCUUGAUAAAUCUUCUUCAAACUUGGUCAUACAAAGGUCUUUUCUCAAGUUAUUUGAAAUGGGGUCACUUGAUCCCUUUCAGGGGCUGCUAGAGGUAAAAAUAGAAAUACCUUUAAACAGCUUCAUCUUAUAAACUUCUUGACUAAUCUUAAAGUUGAUCAGAAGCAUCAUUGUGAGGUCCUCUCUAAAUUUUAUACAAAUGAAGGCACUUUGUCUCCAUUUUGAGGCCACCAGAAAAUAUAAAUGCAAAUAUAAAUGCCUUUUAAACAAUCUGUCGUGAAGCAAUGUAUGGAUUGGAACCACUUAAGCUUUUUUUGUAGCAUUCUAGUAAAAUCCUUUCUUAAAUUACUUCUUAUGUGUCAUUAGAGCUAGAAUAAGAAAUAAAUUUUGGUGACUUUUCCCCUUGAACAGUGUGAUUGAUCUUCAUUAUACAGGGUUUGUAGUAUUCUCAAAUUUAUUAAUCCCCCGCCAUGAGUGGUGGUGGUGGGGAUACAGGAAUGGUCUCCGUCCGUCCUUCCAUCUGCCGUGCUUCCGUAACAUUUUGUGUCCACUCUGUAUCUCCUAAACCCCUUGAAGGAAUUUCAUCAAACUUUGGUCAUAACCUCAUCAAGAAUUCAGUCAGCGAUGUCAACUCAAGGUCAAGGUCACAAUUCAAGGUCAAAAGUUCGAGCUCUGUACCUCCUAAACCCCUUAAAGGAUUUUCAUAAAACUUGGGUCAAAUGAUCACCUCAUCAAGCCAGAAUCUAUGGAUCAGCCAUGUCAGUUCAAGAUCAUUGUCACAGUUCAAGGUCAAAGGUUUUACCCUUUCACUAUCCAUAACAGUGGCAGGGGUUUAACUGUCUUUCAGACUGCCUUGUUCAAAUGGGAGUACUUGUCAUGUUAUGUUCUUUUUAUAGUAUACAUAUUUGUUACCAUUCAUGAUAUCUGUGUGUCAUACAUAAUUAUAUUCCAGGUUCAUGUGAGAAACUAAGGACCACUAUGGCUCACAUGUUCUAUUUUUAGCUCACCUGAGCACGAAGAGCUCAAGGUGAGCUUUUGUGAUCGCCCUGUGCCCGUCGUCAACAAUUUGACUGUUAACACUAUAGAGGUCACAAUUUUGUCCUAAUCUUAAUGAAACUUGGUCACAAUAUUACCCUUAAUAAAAUCUUGGAUGAGUUCGAUAUUGGGUCAUCUGGGGUAAAAAACUAGGUCACUGGGUCAGAUCAAAGGAAAAGCUUGUUAACACUCUAGAGGUUACAAUUUUGGCCCAAACUUAAUGAAACUUGGUCAGAAUGUUACCCUCAAUAAAAUCUUGGAUGAGUUCGAUAUUGGGUCAUCUGGGGUCAGAAACUAGGUCACCAGGUCAAAUCAAAGGAAAAGCUUGUUAACACUGUAGAGGCCACAUUUAAGACUAUAUCUUCAUGAAACUUCGUCAGAAUGUUACUCAUGAUGAUCUUAAAGUCUUGUUUGAAUCUGGGUCAUGUAGGGUCAAAAACUAGGCCACCAGGUCAAAUCAAAGGAAAAGCUAGAUAACACUCUAGAGGCCACAUUUAUGACUGUAUCUUCAUGAAACUUAGUCAGAAUGUUACUUACUUUUGAGGUCAUUAAGUAAAAGUGAUACAAAGUGCUUUGCCAUAUUUAAAAAUUUAACACUUCAGUUUGGAAACUUCUUUAUUUUUAGCUCACCUGAGCACAAAGUGCUCAAGGUGAGUUUUUGUGAUCGCCCUGUGUCCGUGGUCCGUCCGUAGUAAACAAUUUAAAUGUUAACACUAUAACAAUCUAGAGGUCACAAUUUUGGCCUAAUCUUAAUGAAACUUGGUCAGACUGUUAAUGAUCUUUAGGUCAAGUUGGAAUCUGGGUCAUGUGGGGGUCAAAAACUAGGUCACCUGGUCAGAUCAACGGAAAAGCUAGUUAACACUUUAGAGGCCAAAUUUAUGACCAUAUCUUAAUGAAACUUGGUCAGAAUGUUAAUCUUGAUAUUUAGGUCAAAAGGUCAGGUGAGCGAUACAGAGCCUUCAUGACACUUGUUUGUUAGAUGUACCAGUUUAAUGCAGAAAUAUAUUAUGCUAAGCUGUUUACAAGCAAUAGCUGGUUUUUUUUUUUUUACCUGGUCACGCUCAAAAUUUCUCUGAAAUAUUCGUUCUUUUUCCACUUUUGUCAAAUUCUUUCUGUAGGCAUAGCCUCAAAAUGGGUGUGCAAUGCUUGUUGUUCCUAGUAGAUAUUUGUUGUUCCUACUAGAUAAGUAAAGCUUUUAUAGACAUUCAGAUGAAACGACAGAACAUAAGUAAAGCUUUUAUAGACAUUUAUAUUCAGAUGAAAAGACAGAACAUUUUUUUUUUUCACUUUUUCAUUUUUUAGGCAUAUUCAUUAUCACCAUUUUCAUAUGCUCUUAUUGUCACUGUGUGACUGUAUUAAGCGUUUCUUUGUUGUUUAAAAUUUCAUUUGAUUUGAAUAAAUUCUAUAUGUGAAAUAUGA
This is a long non-coding RNA of Mercenaria mercenaria, 5416 nucleotides long. RefSeq lists it as uncharacterized. The transcript has 3 exons. NCBI's taxonomy places the organism in Eukaryota, Metazoa, Mollusca, Bivalvia, Venerida, Veneridae. The record is from RefSeq and is a predicted model, not a curated record.